UCCUGGAGGAACAGCAAGCAGCGGACGGUUCCAUUUCAGCUCAAGCAGCGCAUCAAAAAUGACAGCCUUCCAGCACUGGAAAUAUAAGGAGCAUUUCAUUUACAUAUGUGAAAACGGCUCAAAUUUAACCGUGCAGUGCAAGAAGUGUUUGCCGGCUAUCAAGAACUUGUCCACGUCGAAGCAAUCUAUGUCAAACCUGAGGAAACAUUUAGAGAGGAAGCAUCCAGGCGUUCUUCUGAAAGGCACGUUUAGUCCAUCUGAUACUCGGGACCCAUCGUCCAUCUUAAUUCUUGAUGCACUGUAUUGUGCCGUGUUUACUUUUACAAGCAAGGGUGUGCAAAGAAAAAAUCACGAAAAAUAAAAUGUGAUGUAAAAGUC
Long non-coding RNA from Xiphophorus hellerii (green swordtail), 378 nucleotides. RefSeq lists it as uncharacterized. The record is from RefSeq and is a predicted model, not a curated record. NCBI's taxonomy places the organism in Eukaryota, Metazoa, Chordata, Actinopteri, Cyprinodontiformes, Poeciliidae. The transcript has 2 exons.